Molecule: ribosomal RNA, 490 nt
Filed under: uncultured bacterium
Lineage: Bacteria
Description: partial 16S ribosomal RNA
Rfam family: Bacterial small subunit ribosomal RNA
Source: RNAcentral
AUCGAACGCUGGCGGCAGGCCUAACACAUGCAAGUCGAACGGUAACAGGAAGCAGCUUGCUGCUUCGCUGACGAGUGGCGGACGGGUGAGUAAUGUCUGGGAAGCUGCCUGAUGGAGGGGGAUAACUACUGGAAACGGUAGCUAAUACCGCAUAAUGUCGCAAGACCAAAGAGGGGGACCUUCGGGCCUCUUGCCAUCGGAUGUGCCCAGAUGGGAUUAGCUUGUUGGUGGGGUAACGGCUCACCAAGGCGACGAUCCCUAGCUGGUCUGAGAGGAUGACCAGCCACACUGGAACUGAGACACGGUCCAGACUCCUACGGGAGGCAGCAGUGGGGAAUAUUGCACAAUGGGCGCAAGCCUGAUGCAGCCAUGCCGCGUGUAUGAAGAAGGCCUUCGGGUUGUAAAGUACUUUCAGCGGGGAGGAAGGGAGUAAAGUUAAUACCUUUGCUCAUUGACGUUACCCGCAGAAGAAGCACCGGCUAACUCCGUG